UACGUGGGGUGCGAGCGUUACUCGGAAUUACUGGGCGUAAAGCGUGCGCAGGCGGUUCGCUGGGUCUGCGGUGAAAGCCCCGGGCUCAACCUGGGAAUGGCCGUGGAAACUGGCGAGCUGGAGUGUGGCAGAGGGGGGUGGAAUUCCACGUGUAGCAGUGAAAUGCGUAGAGAUGUGGAGGAACACCGAUGGCGAAGGCAGCCCCCUGGGCUGACACUGACGCGCAGGCACGAAAGCGUGGGGAGCAAACAGG
RNAcentral lists this ribosomal RNA (253 nucleotides) under uncultured bacterium. RNAcentral describes it as "partial 16S ribosomal RNA". It matches the Rfam family "Bacterial small subunit ribosomal RNA", at positions 524 to 776 of the family's 1533-position model. The record is from RNAcentral.